GACGAACGCUGGCGGCGUGCCUAAUACAUGCAAGUAGAACGCACAGUUUAUACCGUAGCUUGCUACACCAUAGACUGUGAGUUGCGAACGGGUGAGUAACGCGUAGGUAACCUGCCUGGUAGCGGGGGAUAACUAUUGGAAACGAUAGCUAAUACCGCAUAAUAUUAAUUAUUGCAUGAUAAUUAAUUGAAAGGUGCAAUUGCACCACUACCAGAUGGACCUGCGUUGUAUUAGCUAGUAGGUGAGGUAACGGCUCACCUAGGCGACGAUACAUAGCCGACCUGAGAGGGUGAUCGGCCACACGGGGACUGAGACACGGCCCAGACUCCUACGGGAGGCAGCAGUAGGGAAUCUUCGGCAAUGGACGAAAGUCUGACCGAGCAACGCCGCGUGAGUGAAGAAGGUUUUCGGAUCGUAAAGCUCUGUUGUAAGAGAAGAACGGGUGUGAGAGUGGAAAGUUCACACUGUGACGGUAUCUUACCAGAAAGGGACGGCUAACUACGU
Molecule: ribosomal RNA, 504 nt
Filed under: uncultured bacterium
Lineage: Bacteria
Description: partial 16S ribosomal RNA
Rfam family: Bacterial small subunit ribosomal RNA
Source: RNAcentral